This is a long non-coding RNA of Salvia splendens (bonfire salvia), 566 nucleotides long. RefSeq lists it as uncharacterized. The transcript has 2 exons. Lineage: Eukaryota; Viridiplantae; Streptophyta; Magnoliopsida; Lamiales; Lamiaceae. The record is from RefSeq and is a predicted model, not a curated record.
UACACCAUUAUAAGCCAUCCGAUCUCUUAAUUAGAUGGAUGAGAUUGAUUUGCAGGAUUUGAAAUCACGGUUAAUUUGGACUGUAAUUGAGAAUUUCUCUCCCACUCCGCCAUAACUUUGUCCCACCUUUCUCUCUUCCCUAUUUUGCAAUUAAUCGGCGCUAUCAAUCCAGAAACCCUAGGAAGAAAUCGUUGCUUUCCACUAGUUCUCUUCGCCUCCAUCCUAGCAUCGCAACAAUCUAAGGAAUAAGGAGUGUCGCUGCUGAACUCUGUCCAACCUUGCUCUCUCAUCGUUUAUGAUUGCAUCUGGUAAAGGGUGGUGAAGGGCGGCGUUGUUUGCUAUUCAUAGCUGCUCCUCCGACGCUUGAUUCCUACUCCGACGCGACAGGAUACAAUGAAAGAAAUGUGCCUACGAAAGAAGAAACAGAUAUUCUAAACAACAAUGCCACUGCUGAUAAGAUUGAUUCUCCUUGUAAUGAGUUGUCGAAAAAUUCAGUUGGGAAUUGCAAAUAACACUCCAACAUAUUUUUCGUAUUGAAAUGUAAAUGUGGUAGGCUGUACCUGUUA